This 279-nucleotide ribosomal RNA is filed under the name uncultured bacterium. Its description in RNAcentral is "partial 16S ribosomal RNA". It matches the Rfam family "Bacterial small subunit ribosomal RNA", at positions 506 to 784 of the family's 1533-position model. The record is from RNAcentral.
UGCCAGCCGCCGCGGUAAUACGAAGGUCCCAAGCGUUGUUCGGAAUUACUGGGCUUAAAGAGUUCGUAGGUGGUUAAAAUAGUUGGUGGUGAAAUCCCAGAGCUUAACUCUGGAACUGCCAUCAAAACUUUUUAGCUAGAGUAUGAUAGAGGAAAGCAGAAUUUCUAGUGUAGAGGUGAAAUUCGUAGAUAUUAGAAAGAAUACCGAUUGCGAAGGCAGCUUUCUGGAUCAUUACUGACACUGAGGAACGAAAGCAUGGGUGGCGAAGAGGAUUAGAUA